UACGGAGGUGGCAAGCGUUGCUCGGAAUCACUGGGCGUAAAGGGCGCGUAGGCGGGGAGGUAAGUCGGGUGUGAAAUCCCUCGGCCCAACCGAGGAACUGCGCCCGAGACUGCUUCUCUUGAGUCCCGGAGAGGAAGAUGGAAUUCCCGGUGUAGCGGUGAAAUGUGUAGAGAUCGGGAGGAACACCAGUGGCGAAGGCGGCUCACUGGACCGGUACUGACGCUGAGGCGCGAAAGCGUGGGGAGCAAACAGG
This 253-nucleotide ribosomal RNA is filed under the name uncultured bacterium. RNAcentral's name for it is "partial 16S ribosomal RNA". It matches the Rfam family "Bacterial small subunit ribosomal RNA", at positions 524 to 776 of the family's 1533-position model. The record is from RNAcentral.